GGGUUGUGAGGUUAAGCGACUAAGCGUACACGGUGGAUGCCCUGGCAGUCAGAGGCGAUGAAGGACGUGCUAAUCUGCGAAAAGCGUCGGUAAGGUGAUAUGAACCGUUAUAACCGGCGAUGUCCGAAUGGGGAAACCCAGUGCAAUUCGUUGCACUAUCGUUAACUGAAUACAUAGGUUAACGAGGCGAACCGGGGGAACUGAAACAUCUAAGUACCCCGAGGAAAAGAAAUCAACCGAGAUUCCCCCAGUAGCGGCGAGCGAACGGGGAGCAGCCCAGAGUCUGAAUCAGCUUGUGUGUUAGUGGAACGGUCUGGAAAGUCCGACGGUACAGGGUGAUAGUCCCGUACACCAAAAUGCACAGGCUGUGAACUCGAAGAGUAGGGCGGGACACGUGGUAUCCUGUCUGAAUAUGGGGGGACCAUCCUCCAAGGCUAAAUACUCCUGACUGACCGAUAGUGAACCAGUACCGUGAGGGAAAGGCGAAAAGAACCCCGGCGAGGGGAGUGAAAAAGAACCUGAAACCGUGUACGUACAAGCAGUGGGAGCACCUUCGGGUGUGACUGCGUACCUUUUGUAUAAUGGGUCAGCGACUUAUAUUCUGUAGCAAGGUUAACCGUAUAGGGGAGCCGCAGGGAAACCGAGUCUUAACUGGGCGUUAAGUUGCAGGGUAUAGACCCGAAACCCGGUGAUCUAGCCAUGGGCAGGUUGAAGGUUGGGUAACACUAACUGGAGGACCGAACCGACUAAUGUUGAAAAAUUAGCGGAUGACUUGUGGCUGGGGGUGAAAGGCCAAUCAAACCGGGAGAUAGCUGGUUCUCCCCGAAAGCUAUUUAGGUAGCGCCUCGUGAACUCAUCUUCGGGGGUAGAGCACUGUUUCGGCUAGGGGGUCAUCCCGACUUACCAACCCGAUGCAAACUACGAAUACCGAAGAAUGUUAUCACGGGAGACACACGGCGGGUGCUAACGUCCGUCGUGAAGAGGGAAACAACCCAGACCGCCAGCUAAGGUCCCAAAGUCAUGGUUAAGUGGGAAACGAUGUGGGAAGGCACAGACAGCCAGGAUGUUGGCUUAGAAGCAGCCAUCAUUUAAAGAAAGCGUAAUAGCUCACUGGUCGAGUCGGCCUGCGCGGAAGAUGUAACGGGGCUAAACCAUGCACCGAAGCUGCGGCAGCGACACUAUGUGUUGUUGGGUAGGGGAGCGUUCUGUAAGCCUGCGAAGGUGUGCUGUGAGGCAUGCUGGAGGUAUCAGAAGUGCGAAUGCUGACAUAAGUAACGAUAAAGCGGGUGAAAAGCCCGCUCGCCGGAAGACCAAGGGUUCCUGUCCAACGUUAAUCGGGGCAGGGUGAGUCGACCCCUAAGGCGAGGCCGAAAGGCGUAGUCGAUGGGAAACAGGUUAAUAUUCCUGUACUUGGUGUUACUGCGAAGGGGGACGGAGAAGGCUAUGUUAGCCGGGCGACGGUUGUCCCGGUUUAAGCAUGUAGGCUGAUUGUCCAGGCAAAUCCGGAUAAUCAAGGCUGAGGUGUGAUGACGAGGCACUACGGUGCUGAAGUAACAAAUGCCCUGCUUCCAGGAAAAGCCUCUAAGCAUCAGGUAACAUCAAAUCGUACCCCAAACCGACACAGGUGGUCAGGUAGAGAAUACCAAGGCGCUUGAGAGAACUCGGGUGAAGGAACUAGGCAAAAUGGUGCCGUAACUUCGGGAGAAGGCACGCUGGUGUGUAGGUGAAGUCCCUGCGGAUGGAGCUGAGACCAGUCGAAGAUACCAGCUGGCUGCAACUGUUUAUUAAAAACACAGCACUGUGCAAACACGAAAGUGGACGUAUACGGUGUGACGCCUGCCCGGUGCCGGAAGGUUAAUUGAUGGGGUUAUCCGUAAGGAGAAGCUCUUGAUCGAAGCCCCGGUAAACGGCGGCCGUAACUAUAACGGUCCUAAGGUAGCGAAAUUCCUUGUCGGGUAAGUUCCGACCUGCACGAAUGGCGUAAUGAUGGCCAGGCUGUCUCCACCCGAGACUCAGUGAAAUUGAACUCGCUGUGAAGAUGCAGUGUACCCGCGGCAAGACGGAAAGACCCCGUGAACCUUUACUAUAGCUUGACACUGAACAUUGAGCCUUGAUGUGUAGGAUAGGUGGGAGGCUUUGAAGCGUGGACGCCAGUCUGCGUGGAGCCAACCUUGAAAUACCACCCUUUAAUGUUUGAUGUUCUAACGUUGGCCCCUGACCGGGGUUGCGGACAGUGUCUGGUGGGUAGUUUGACUGGGGCGGUCUCCUCCCAAAGCGUAACGGAGGAGCACGAAGGUUAGCUAAUCCUGGUCGGACAUCAGGAGGUUAGUGCAAUGGCAUAAGCUAGCUUGACUGCGAGCGUGACGGCGCGAGCAGGUGCGAAAGCAGGUCAUAGUGAUCCGGUGGUUCUGAAUGGAAGGGCCAUCGCUCAACGGAUAAAAGGUACUCCGGGGAUAACAGGCUGAUACCGCCCAAGAGUUCAUAUCGACGGCGGUGUUUGGCACCUCGAUGUCGGCUCAUCACAUCCUGGGGCUGAAGUAGGUCCCAAGGGUAUGGCUGUUCGCCAUUUAAAGUGGUACGCGAGCUGGGUUUAGAACGUCGUGAGACAGUUCGGUCCCUAUCUGCCGUGGGCGCUGGAGAAUUGAGGGGGGCUGCUCCUAGUACGAGAGGACCGGAGUGGACGCAUCACUGGUGUUCGGGUUGUCAUGCCAAUGGCACUGCCCGGUAGCUAAAUGCGGAAGAGAUAAGUGCUGAAAGCAUCUAAGCACGAAACUUGCCCCGAGAUGAGUUCUCCCUGAGACUUUAAGUCUCCUGAAGGAACGUUAAAGACGAUGACGUUGAUAGGCCGGGUGUGUAAGCGCAGCGAUGCGUUGAGCUAACCGGUACUAAUGAACCGUGAGGCUUAACCUUACAACGCCGAAG
RNAcentral lists this ribosomal RNA (2922 nucleotides) under Klebsiella pneumoniae. RNAcentral describes it as "bacterial LSU rRNA". It matches the Rfam family "Bacterial large subunit ribosomal RNA". Lineage: Bacteria; Pseudomonadati; Pseudomonadota; Gammaproteobacteria; Enterobacterales; Enterobacteriaceae. The record is from RNAcentral.